GGGCGUGUGGUCUAGUGGUAUGAUUCUCGCUUUGGGUAACUUCUCGAAUAACGAGAAGCAAAUCAUGCGAGAGGCCCUGGGUUCAAUUCCCAGCUCGCCCC
Molecule: transfer RNA, 101 nt
Filed under: Saccharomyces kudriavzevii IFO 1802
Lineage: Eukaryota; Fungi; Ascomycota; Saccharomycetes; Saccharomycetales; Saccharomycetaceae
Rfam family: tRNA
About the family: Transfer RNA (tRNA) molecules are approximately 80 nucleotides in length. Their secondary structure includes four short double-helical elements and three loops (D, anti-codon, and T loops).
Source: Rfam by way of RNAcentral